ACACUCCUGCGGGAGGCAGCAGUGGGGAAUAUUGCACAAUGGGCGCAAGCCUGAUGCAGCCAUGCCGCGUGUAUGAAGAAGGCCUUCGGGUUGUAAAGUACUUUCAGCGGGGAGGAAGGCGAUAAGGUUAAUAACCUUGUUGAUUGACGUUACCCGCAGAAGAAGCACCGGCUAACUCCGUGCCAGCAGCCGCGGUAAUACGGAGGGUGCAAGCGUUAAUCGGAAUUACUGGGCGUAAAGCGCACGCAGGCGGUCUGUCAAGUCGGAUGUGAAAUCCCCGGGCUCAACCUGGGAACUGCAUUCGAAACUGGCAGGCUAGAGUCUUGUAGAGGGGGGUAGAAUUCCAGGUGUAGCGGUGAAAUGCGUAGAGAUCUGGAGGAAUACCGGUGGCGAAGGCGGCCCCCUGGACAAAGACUGACGCUCAGGUGCGAAAGCGUGGGGAGCAAACAGGAUUAGAAACCCCAGUAGUCCC
This 472-nucleotide ribosomal RNA is filed under the name uncultured organism. Its description in RNAcentral is "partial 16S ribosomal RNA". It matches the Rfam family "Bacterial small subunit ribosomal RNA", at positions 333 to 797 of the family's 1533-position model. The record is from RNAcentral.